UACGUAGGGUGCAAGCGUUGUCCGGAAUUAUUGGGCGUAAAGAGCUCGUAGGCGGCUUGUCGCGUCGGCUGUGAAAACCUGGGGCUCAACCCCGGGCCUGCAGCCGAUACGGGCAAGCGUAGAAUUCGGUAGGGGAGACUGGAAUUCCUGGUGUAGCGGUGAAAUGCGUAGAUAUCGUAAGGAAGACCAGUGGCGAAGGCGGGUCUCUGGACAGUUCCUGACGCUGAGGCACGAAGGCCAGGGAGGCGAA
RNAcentral lists this ribosomal RNA (250 nucleotides) under uncultured bacterium. RNAcentral's name for it is "partial 16S ribosomal RNA". It matches the Rfam family "Bacterial small subunit ribosomal RNA", at positions 524 to 772 of the family's 1533-position model. The record is from RNAcentral.